ACAGCCUGUGAUGUUGCUCUAAAAGAUCCUCUGCUACUUCCUGGCGGAUCCCUAACUGGCAGCCUGUGUUCUUGGCCACAGAUGUGGAGUGCACAGAACAACUUAAAGGAAUAACACUUGUUGCCUGGUGCCUUGCCUCCGGAGCGAGAACAGCAGGCGUUUCAUCAGGGAACAACAAAACAUCCUGAAGGAUUCUCAAAGGAAGGUCAUCCCAGGUCUUGCAACAUUUGCUCUCAUGUUUUCUCCACUGGGUCAAAAUGCUAAAGCAGAAUUCCUAGUUCUAAUAUUAUAUAAGCCAUAAUCUGUCUGUCCAUAACUCUUU
Molecule: long non-coding RNA, 322 nt
Filed under: Crocodylus porosus (Australian saltwater crocodile)
Lineage: Eukaryota; Metazoa; Chordata; Crocodylia; Crocodylidae
Description: lncRNA (ENSCPRG00005009289.1)
Source: RNAcentral